This is a non-coding RNA of Tetranychus urticae (two-spotted spider mite), 3765 nucleotides long. Lineage: Eukaryota; Metazoa; Arthropoda; Arachnida; Trombidiformes; Tetranychidae. The record is from RefSeq and is a predicted model, not a curated record.
UAUGCAAUCAAUUUGGUAUCCAUGUUUUUUUGCGUCUCUCUCUCUUUGUAUUAUUAAUCAAAGUUGACUAUUAAUAAUAAUUAUUUUUAUGAAUUUGUAUUGUGAAAACAACAAUAACCGGUUCGACCUGAAUUGAACAUGUCCUUAAAGAUCGUUGUUAUUAAAUUAAACAUCAAACGAGGAACAUUAAUCCAAAGGAAAAACAAUUUUGGUUAACCAUUAGCUUUGUAAUGACACACUUCAUUACCAUUGACUUGUCUUGUUAACAUCAAAAGUUUUGCAUGCGGAUGUAACAUUUCCUAUUGUGGACAUAUGGAGAUACAAUUCUCCCAUUAAAUGGAUGGAACCAUUGGAUUGCAAGUACUAAUGAACCAAUUUAGAGUAGAUUAUUGCCUCUUCAAUUCAUCUUCUAGCCGCCACAAUCGUCAACCAAAAUAGUCUUGGAGUCGGUUUUUUACAUUUUUUGGACUUUCUCUAUGAUCAAUUGAUAUUUUCACCGCUUAAAAUGUUAUUUUUUGGUUUGAGAAAAUAUUAAUUUUUCAGGAAAUGUGGAAUGUAAUGCAAAUUUGGUAUUUUAUCUUGAUCAUUACAUGUUUACUUAAAGUUUGCGGAAAAAUGCAUUUCACAUGGAGAAAAAUCAUCAUCAAAAGGCAGAGAAAAAAGUUUCCAACAUACUUUAUUUCUAAUUUGAUUGUUUUCUGUUCUAAUACAUAAAAUGGUACAUAAAAUAUUCUCCCAUAGUAUUAUGUAUUAUUUGAAUAAAAGUGGCAACAUCAACACCAACAAAAUGGUUAAUGUAAGCUUCGGUGGUGCUUAAUGUCUAAUAGUUUUCAUCGUUAUUUUUUACUUAUUUUGUUGAAGUCAAAAAAAGAGCAAAAAUAAAGAUUGUUAAAAACACUUGUCCUGUUUGGAUGGAAUCCUGCUGCAAAAAAAUGAAUAAUUCACAUGAAUACUGUUUCUCUUUCUCUAUAUCACACACACAACACUGUUCAUCAUCUGCGUUACAAGAGCGAUCAAGAGACACCAUUAAUAUCAACAGCAGAUGUGUACUUUGUAAAGUUUGGGAAAAGCAAGAGGCAACAAAUUUUUUUUCCUCUACUUUUACCUGAAAGUUAGAUGUGACAAGGAUUUAUUAAUUUACUAAUUGUUGCAGUUAACUAAUGACAUUUCAUUUUUUGGCCAAAAAAAGAGUGGCAAUUUACUAGAGGCGAAACUCAAGGAGAAAGUCAGAGAAAAAUGAGAAACAAGUUGCCAAUGACCAUGUAACGGAGGUUCAACAACAGACUCAAGGUGAUACUUCCGGAAUAAUUUUUCACCUCCCUUUGGUAGACAUUUUUAAUAGUAAUUUUUCCUCAAACAUAGUAACUUACCCUGUGGCUUGAUAGGGCCUACUCAGUGAACAAUUAAUGUUAAAGCUCAAGUUAAAAGGACGGGCAAUGAAGUUGUUGAUGAUAAUAUUUUUGUGACUAAUUAGUACUCCAAACUAAUUAACGUACAACACACGGUAUCCUAGAUGCCUUUGAAUCAGUGCAUAGAUUCAUUGAAAGUUUCUCAUGAAGAUCUACACCAAAGCAAAAGCGGAGGAGGGAAAAAAGGAUGAACUGAAAUAUUUCAAUAUAUUGCCUAAGCAAAGAGGCAUUCUGGCUUUGAUGGUCAACAAAAGAAGAGGAAAAAAGAGGAUGAAAAGCAAGAGGAAAGAAGGCAAUGAGGGAAAAAUUUGAAAAAUGUAUCAUUAGAGGUAUUCUUCAUGUAACAUCAUAAAAAACUCUGAUCACAUCUUGAACGAUUCUUGGUGUAAAGUAGGAAAAGCUGUUAAAAUUGUAUUAUAAAUAUUGAGAAAAAAAGGUAAGUAAAGGUGUGGUUAAUGUUCAUCAAAUAUACAUGUAUAUAUUUCUUGACGAUUAAAGACCUCACACUAUGCUUGUUCAAAUUUGACCACGACAAGUCAAUGCGUCAUUAUUAUCAUCAUCAACUUGAUCAUUAUUCUCAUCAUUAACAUAAUCUCAUCUUUACCGAUUUUCAUCGUUUCUCCUUCUUCAGCUCUGUUCAUCCCCUUCAUCAUCAUGAUAAUAUAUUCUUGACAAAAGUAACACUAAAUCCAGGUUUUACAGGGACGCCCAUUGCAAAUAACUGGUUAAUAACUUGUUAGGGUCACAAAUUAAUUUCAAGAAAAUAUAAAGUGAUCUAAAUUGUGUGUUAUCCUCAUCAACUAAUGAUUUCAAUUACCAGAAAUGUUCAACCUGUGAUCUACAUAAAUGAGGGAGAACAAGGAAAAAAAAGUUAACUCAACUUGGAUAAUAAAUUGCUUUUAAAUAGCAAUUAAUAAUUGAAACACAAAUAGACCUUAUCUUCAAGCUUAAAACUGAACCCCUUUUCUUUCUGCCCUGAAAAUGUACUACUCUUACAAUUUUGGUCCAUUGAUUACAAUGUUACAGAUGUAAACCCAAGAAACAAUUACAAAGUAGAGUUGAAAAAUUAGGCGAAAUCUGAUUUCAAAAGUGAUUUGCUGAUUCAAUCCAAGCUUUUGCGAGGAAAAACCUAGCAAUCUUCAAAAAUUCUGUGGCUAUAUUAUUAACCUUGCAUGGAUCUGUUUGCUCAACCAAAUCAACAACAAUUUCACGGUACAACUAUUCACAUGAUGGUGACUCGGGCGUCAGUACAUAAUAACAAGAAACAAUUCACGAUCAUUUCAUUGAUUUUACCGGUUUUACCUUAAACUUUACCAACCAAUAUUACUUGUUAUUAUCAUUAUCUAUGUUUAUUAUUAUGUAAUGCAUCUUACAGUAAAUGCAGCACAAAAAAGCGUUCAAAUGAAAAAGGAAAGUAAAAAAUCUAUUCUAUUUGAACCAAAUUCCCUAUUUUUUUACUUCGGCUAACUUUUUUCUGCUUCUUCUUUUCUCUUUUUCAGAUUCAACGGAAGUUACAGGAAACAAGAAAAAAAUAUAUCUACAAUGAUUCAAGAACCAUUCAAUGUUACCUUGAAAAAUGGGAAUUCAAUUUGUUUUCUUUAAUGAUCAAAAUGAUGAUUAAGAUAGAUACACAUUUACACAAUGGCUGAUUAUCAAUGAAAGCAAAUAUUGUUUCAACCUUUCCUUCAAUAUAAUACAAUUUCAACAUUUGUUUUUUUAUUAUUGUUUUCAGGUUAACUUUUGACUUGCCAUGAAGAUAGCCUUUUGUUUUAUUGUUUUCACCAAAUUCCCAACGAGUCCCAUGAUAUACAGAAGUAUUGACUGAUUAUAUUUCAACAUAUCAACAGUUAUUGACUUUGGCUUUUCUGGAUCAAAUGGCCAUUAUAUUUCAACUAACUUACCAUGAUAUCCAAGUCGCCGAUUGCCUGGGAAACUAUCCAUUUCAAUGAAUUAUUUCAUUUUUUUAUUUCUUCUUUUUGAUUAACAUAAUUGCUAGUUGAAAUGGCCCUUUUAAUUGGCUCUUUAUCAAAGCAAUCAAUCAACAAAUAACUGAAUCCUCAAUUUUGUGUCUGUUGAUACAUUAAUUAUUUAAUGUGUAAUCAAAUAUUCAUGUAAGGUUAAGGUUAAACCUGCAGACGCACAGUUUGCCUCUUAAAUUGUAAUCUAUUUACACAUUUAAUAUUGUUAGAUUGCCCAUUAGAGCCAAUUUAAUCAUCAUUUCAUCUGAUUUACAAGUAAAAGCAUUGAAUCUUAUUUGUUGAACAGUGCAAAGCAUUCAAUAAUAUCACUUGUUAAUACAAUUAGAGUUGACACUUGAAAGAAAUCAAAUUUACAUUAAAACCUCUUUUUUUGUUUA